This 4764-nucleotide long non-coding RNA is filed under the name Homo sapiens (human). RNAcentral describes it as "HSALNT0349565". Lineage: Eukaryota; Metazoa; Chordata; Mammalia; Primates; Hominidae. The record is from RNAcentral.
CCGCCGCACGCGGGCGGGGCUGGGAGCGCGCGCCCGAGAGGCGCGUGGGGCACCCGCCGCAAAGAGGAGCCUGCUGGUCUGCUGGCGGGCAGGCGGCGCUGGGCCGGAGCCUCUCCCUCCGGUGCGCACAGCGCACCCUCUCCUCCCCCGGCCGCCCGUCGCAGCGCGGAGAGGGCGUGUCGGCACCCUGCCUGGCGAGCGCCCACCCCUACAAUGGCUGCGAGCGCGCGGGACGGAGGGUGCACCGCCGCUCCCCGGGGACUUGCACGGGUGGCGCGCCUAGCCCAGAGCCCGCUUGUAGUGAGCGCUCAGUAGGGCGGGAAAGCUGCUGCCGCUACUGCGGCCUUCUGAGAAGACGCCCAUUCUCUGAUGUCAGGACUGCAUCGCCGAGUCCUGAUUGCAAAUAGCGAAAUAUAUAAUUAAGGAGAGUUCGGGGGCGUAUCCUGCAAUGGGAUGCCGAGUUCGAUAAAGUUGCAGGAUGCUGGGAAAGUGGAUUGAUUUGCUGUUGCUAAAUGAAUGGAAACAGCGUUAGAGCUUCUGUCCACGAUCCAUCAGUCUAUCGAGAUUGCUGAUUGCCUAUGACUUGGACGGUUGAUGGUUUUCAGGCCCACUGAGAGCAGCCAGCGUUGGUAUAACCGCAGGGAGCCCUCCUGGGAGGUUGAACCUGCAGAGCGCAAAUGUGCCCAGGUUGAUUUGGGGCCUAGUGGUCCAUUUUCACAGCUCCACUGCCUAUCUGCAUAACCAGGAGCCCUCAUUCAGAUGAACGCCAAAUGGGCCAGAGGGAGGAGAAUCAAAUGAGCAACUUUUAAAAGAUAUUAAGACAUAGGCACCUAACUCCGGACAGUUCCUUUAACCCUUGAGCUAACCAUUUGAAGCACAAAACAUAACAAAAGAAAAGACUGGGGGGAGUGGGGCCAAAAGAAACCAAGUGCAAAAUUCUGUACACUUGUGUCAGAUUCACUCCGUAAUGGGAAAAGGUCUGGCUUUGAAAACUUUAUGGAUCAAAGGGAUGCAUGGAGUUACACAGCACAGCUGCAGAAGAUAAUGUUCCCCUGGAUCACUCUGCCCAACUCUUAACUGCAACCCACCUUCCCCAUCCGUCUCCCCGAAAUCACCCGGAAGGGUGUUACCUUCAGGAAGUAACUGAUCUCUUGAUCACCCCUGCUGGAUCCUGUCCCCAAGGGCGUUCGAAUGCAUCCGACUCAUCUUCACCUUGCCAAUAACGGGUGCUUGACACAUCGUUUGCUGCCAAUCAUUAUUGUGAUUUUAAUACUAUUGGUAUUCUAACUAUCAAGAUGACUGCUUGUAGAGCCAGAUUGCCUGGAUUCAAACUCCAGUUCACAACCUACUAACUGUAUGCCUUUAGGUAAACUCAGAUGCCUCUGAUGGAUUCGAAAUAACCAGAUAUAUUUCUGAAUUGCUUCAUAUGGGGGUAAUGCUAUUUACCUGGGAUCCUAUCCAGCAGCUUCAAAGGUGGUGGCAGCCAUUACCCGACUAAUGAGCACAACACCCCUGGCUCCCUGUCUUCAAGGCAGGAAGAUGCUGUGAUGCACAUCAGGAGAUGGAGGGAAAAGAAAUGACUUGCCCACCUGAGUGGCAGGUGAGUCACAUUAGCCUCUCUGUGCCUCGCUUUCCUCAUUUGUAAAAUGAGAGGGUUGGUCCCUUCCACGUGAUGUCUUCCAUAUGAGUCUGGCUGACCUGCAGACCUGAUUUUAAGCUCUCUCUGGGUUCUUUGUCUGUUUUAGAUAUCUAGACAUAUAUGUCUGUCUCUGUGUGUAUGUGCAUGUUUAUGUGUUGCAGAAACAGUUGGGAAAAGAGAUUAAGGAAGGGAUGGUGCUGUUGGCUCCAGGCAGUGACUCAAGGAGGCAUUCAUGGUGAAAGAAGAAAGGCCUUUCUCAGGUGAUGCUUCAUCUUCCCCCACGUGCUCUGAUACCCUGUCCCUGCCUUGAUGUGUCUAUAAAUACAAACAGCAGGAGACCCGCAUCAGUAGACAAAGCAGGUGGCUGCAACCUAUUCUUCUUCCCAAUGGCCACUGGGACAGUUCCUCUCCCCCAGAACUUGUUGUUUAUAUUUAUUUUACACUAAAGCUAUUUUAACAUAAACCUGUUGAAAUAGGAGAGGGCUUCCCAUCUCACACCUCCACAGAUGUGUAUUUUCUAGAACAAAUUCAAGACUAAUCAUAAAAUGAAAACAGAUUUCCACAAAGUUGUUCUUUAUAAUGUAAAUUUUUUUCUGACAGGCAGCUUAAUACUUCAAAGGGCAACCCAUUCCUUUAUUGAUUAUAACUAAUUGUUUGAGAUUUUCUUUAGCAUGAGUUGAAAUUUUUCUUCCUUUGUCAAAGUGAAGGAAGGGACUUGUAUACAAGGAAGGUCCUUGUAUAAAGGACCUAUCAUCAAGGUACCAUCUCUCUUUAAACUUUAACUCCCAGAGGAGAAAUACCUAUAGCCACACAAUUCAUGUACUUUUUAGUCAUUGGAUCUCUAUGACUAUUAUCAUUAUAGAAACUGUUUUAAUAUAAUAAUAAUUUGAAAACUGGAUUUUAAGAAUACAAAUUUAGAAAUAGCAGUUCUCUCUAGAGACUCAUUCAUGAAUAUGGAAAGAUCUUUUAUCAGAUAAUUCCCCCCAGGGGUCCUUUAAAUAGCAAUCUCCUUCGUUUUGAUUCAAUUUGUAGAAAUCCCAUCUAGAUGCAUUACUGGACCACACAUUGUGUAAAGGAAGGUACAUUAUGUGUUGGGUAACCAUUUGGCUCUCUCUUUCUUCCCAACUUGUGACUAAUUGAUUUUGCCAUUAAUUGGGAUUUCCCCUGGAGGCCAUUUGAUCUGUUUGCAGGAUGAGCAGGGAGUUAGGGCAGUCCCUCCAGAUGGGACGGCUUUCAAUAAGCAGACAGUCCAAAGGGGCAUCAGAGUGAUACAGAAACGAUUAAUUGAAUAACUCACUUGAAAAUCAUGUGCUGCUUUAAAGACCUAAAAGCUAAGUAAAUACCUAAGUAAAGGCCAUACUGAUCAAGUAAGACUCCUUGUUGCAGCCUGGCUGAGAAUAAUGCCAGGAAAAAAAAAAUUUAAGAGCAUCCCAUUAAUGGAUUCUUUAAAAUACUGGAAGCAUGAUUCCAGGCAAUAACAUACUGUAAUCCCCAUAAUACUCACAUUUGCAUAACUCUAGAUAAUUUAUGAAGCAUUUUCGCAGAUACUGUGCAGAUCUCACACUGACACGGGGGUGGGUUGGCUGUGAAAGGGCUCAACUGGACUUACAUUCCAGGAGCAGAAACAGGCUUGGAGCUGUGGACUUCUCAGAGGCAUACAACUAGUAAGUGGCAGAAAUAUUACCAGAACCCAAAACUUCUAAUUCUAAAUUUCUUGACAACACACAGCACCAUCUCCCCAGUGCAUCACAGCUAAAACCACCUUACUGGACUCUGUUUUACCCUGGAGAAGAAAUGCAUACUGACUGAGGACUCUGCUCCAUGCCUGGCAAAAUAUUUGUAUUAUUUUUACAAGUAUGUUUUAGUUUUAUACAGAUAAAUACAAUUUUAAAUGGUUAAAGAUGGCCUCAUAUUUAAAAAGCACAUUGGGAGCCACUGUGUUAGAUUAUGCAGUGCAGACAUAGAGAACCAAAAGGCUAUGUGUGGUGGGAAUAGUGAGGCAGAACAAGAACUUUCUAGAAAAGGAAAGAAAGGAGAGAACCUGUGGAGCGGAGCUGGGAACCAGGCUGGAGAGGAGAGGGAAUAGCUGUCCAGGAGCAGCUAUGCAUGUAAACUAGACAUGAGGCUCUAUUUUAUCGAGAAUUUUCCUUCUCUUAUCUCUACAUGCCCUUUCCCACUACCACCUAGCAGUCAGCUUUAUCCCCUGAGAGGACUUAGGGAAAUGGAAGGAGGAGAGGAGCUGACUUUGUCUACCUAAUAAGAGAAGGACAAGGGGAAGCCAUUAUCCUGACCUUUCUGUCUCCCCAGGAAAUGGGUAUCUACCUCUUUGCAUUUGUUUACUAAGAAAGGCUAUUCAAGUGAUUUUUCCUAGAAUAAUGAAAGAUGUUUCUAGAAGGUUUGCUUUCUCCCCAACACAAAGAAGCAGCCAGGAAUUCCUAAAUAUCAAGCUUUUUUAAAAAAAUUCCAUUUCACCAGGCAAUCCACUAUGCACGUGAGAACAGCACCUACUUCAUAUGCUUGUUGUAAGAUGUAAUCAAGACCACGUACCUAAGCUGUUUACACAGGGGCAGGCACAAGUUAGGCAUACCAUGAACAUUUGUGUCUUAGUCUGUUUUCUGCUGCUAUAACAGAAUACCUGAGAUGGAUUAAUUUAUAAACAAUAGAAGUUUAUUUGGCUCACCGUUCAGGAGAUUGGAAAGUCUAAGAGCAUGGUGCCUGCAUCUGGUGAAGGCCUUCAUGUUGUGUCAUCCCAUGGCAGAAGGUGGAAGGCAACAAAGGGCAGCAGUGAGCAAGCAAGAGGAGGCUGGACUCGCUUUUAUAACAAAGGUACUCUGGAGAUAAAUUACCCACUCCUGUGAUAACAACAUUAAUCCAUUCAUGAGGGCGGAGCCCUCUGACCUAAUCACCUUUUAUUAGGCCCCACCUCCCAAAAACUGUUGCAUGGGAUUAAGUUUCCAAAACAUGAACUUUGGGGAACACAUGCAAACAAUAGCAAUUUAUAAAUAAGGACCAAAAUUUGUUGAGGACUUAACAGGUGAACCCAAGAGCUACAAUGGGGCUCCAGGCACAAUCUUUGUCUUCAAGGGGUAUAUUAGUCUGUUCUCCUGCUGCUAAUAAAGACAUAC